CCGAGUUUACAACUCCCAAACCCCUGUGAACAUACCACUUGUUGCCUCGGCGGAUCAGCCCGCUCCCGGUAAAACGGGACGGCCCGCCAGAGGACCCCUAAACUCUGUUUCUAUAUGUAACUUCUGAGUAAGACCAUAAAUAAAUCA
RNAcentral lists this unclassified non-coding RNA (147 nucleotides) under soil metagenome. Its description in RNAcentral is "partial internal transcribed spacer 1". The record is from RNAcentral.